GGAAGCAGUUCCAAGAUGGCGACCUCCAUAGCGCCGGGGAAGAGUGGCUUUCGUAACCAGAAGCAGAAGCAGGAGAACCGAGAUGAGUCAGAGCUCCUCACUGUACCUGAUGGUUGGGAGGAUCCAGCUUUUUCCAGAGGACAAACGCAGAGGACUCUUGGGAAGCAGUUUUGCAUCUCUGUUCCCAAAUACAGAGAUUGGCAAAAGUAGGCUCAUGGUUUUCAUAUGGAAAAAGACAUGCAGCAUGUUAAUGCAACCCUGGACCUGAUCGAGGGCAGCAUGACUGUUUGUACAACAAAGAAGACUUUUGAUCCAUACAUCAUCAUUAGGGCCAGAGACCUAAUAAAACUACUAGCAAGAAGUGUUUCAUUUGAACAGGUAAAUUUACAGUUACAGAGAUUCUGCUUUAUUUGUGCCAUUAGAGAUGAUAUAGCACUGCUUCUAUCCAUCCCUUCCCUUCCUCCAUAGAGUUUUCAUUAUUCUGCUUAGAUAUCAGUGUGGGCUUUGAAAAAAAAAGUAUUUGUAAAGACUAUCGGUUGAAUAUUUCUUUGUUUUUUUUUCAAAAGGCAGUAUGAAUUCUUCAGGAUGGGGCUGCAUGCGAUAUCAUUAAGUUGUUUAGUAAGAAGUAAAAAAAGAUUUGUAAAAAGAGGAUCAUGGCUUAUUGGUCCCAAAGGAUCUACAUUGAAGGUACUUUUUAUCAGUAGAAAACUUGAGUAUCUUCUUUGUCAUUAGUUUUUCAGUGUAUUUCAACUGAAUUUCAACUUAUUUUUCUAUUGAUGUAGGCAUUGGAAUUCUUAACAAACUGUUGAAUUAUGGUUCAAAGAAACACGGUAUCAGCCAUUGGACUUUUUAGUGUCUUAAAAGAGCUUCUAUUGAAACUAAAAUUGACGUGGCUGCCAUCAAGGAAAAGGUUAAGAAAGCAAAGAUUAAGAAACUGUGAGCUCUCACAGCUGAAGAAGUUAAGCUUAAGAUGGAAGCAGAUGAGAAGAAAGAAAAGUAAUACACACACACACAUACACACACAACCUGAACUAGAACCUACUAACCUAUCUCUUUUUAUAAAGGACUUUGAGAUACUAGGGCAUUAGUUGUCUUAUGUGUAAGAAGUAAUAUUCUAAUUAUUUUUUUUUCUGAAUGUGUUUUUCUUUAUGAGAGUAUUUAUAUGUAUGGCUAUUCUUUAUAAAUAUAAAUUAUUGUAUUCUCCGUGUGCUUUUUGAACAAUGUACUAGAGAGCAGUAUCUAUGUCUUUAUGUACAUUGCACCUAAUCUGUUCUAGGCAGGCUUUGUCUAGCAUGAUUUUAGGAGUAAUUAAAAAAACAUUCUUUUUUUCUUUCAUUUUUUAAAUCCUUACCCAAGGAUACUUUUCCACUGAUUUUUAGGAAGAAUGUAAGAGAGAGGGAAAGACAGAGAGAAACAUCGAUGUGAGAGAAACACAUCGAUUGGUUGCCUCCUGCAGGAGCCCUGACCAGGGCUCUGGCCGGGGAGGAGCCUGCAAGGGAGGCAUGUUUCCUUGACUGGAAUCGAACCUGGGACCCUUUGGUCUAUAGGCCAAACCGGCCAGGGCUAAGAGUAAUUCUUUCGUUUGAUGUAAAGAUUUUUGAAAUGUGACUGUUGUAAUUAUCCAACAAAUCGAAUAUCUGAUUUGGUUAAAUACCUACAACUAUGUCCCAGCAUUUGGUUUUGAGGAAAACAAAUGCAGAGUUUUCAGUGCUCUCUCUACUGAUAACAAACAUUUAGGCUUAUUCCUUUCUGUAAUCUCAUUUUCUGUUGUGUUCCAAGAUUAAACAACUCAUAAGCAAAAAAAAAAGCAAGGCCUCUUUAAGUGAAAUUCCUUAAUUGCUAUUCUAUUCUGAAUCCAGAAAAGUGAUAAACCAAAAAUACCUCAAAUUGCAACUGGGUAAACAGAUUAUUUAGAGUUGAAUCAGCAUGCAAGAGUUAUGAAGAAAUGUUUAUACUCAUGAAGGCCUGUUGACUUAUUUAGAAUCACUGAAAUCUAGCUCCCUCAUUUUAUUUUAUUUUUAAUAUUGAUUUUUUUACAGAGAGGAAGGGAGAGGGAGAGUUAGAAACUGAUGAGAAACAUCGAUCAGCUGCCUCCUGCACACCCCCUACUGGGGAUGUGCCUGCAACCAAGGUACAUGCCCUUGACCAGAAUCAAACCUGGGACCCUUCAGUCUGCGGGCCGACACUCUAUCCACUGAACCAAACUGGUUAGGGCUAGCUCCCUCAUUUUAGGUUACUUACUGAAAGUCACUGUGGCAGCCUGAAAACAGUGCUUUUUCAUAGAAACAUGGAAAGUAAAGGUGAGUUUAUCCUGUAGAGUGAGGACUUUGAACAUUUUGGUUAUGGCUUUACUGAAGCAAUGUAAUUUUUUUCUGGAAUGUUUUAAACUUAGAAUUAUACCCAAUUGUUAUUUUUAAAACAUCUUAUACAGAUGAGUUUGUAAACUUUUUUAAAAAAAAUAUUUUUUUUAUUGAUUUCAAAGAGGGAGAGGGAAGGAGGGAUAGAAACAUCAAUGAUGAAGGAGAAUCACCGAUUGGCUGCCUUCUGCACACCCCCUACUGGGGAUCGAGCCUGCAACCCCGGGCAUGGACCCUGACCAGGAAUCAGAACAGUGACCUCCUGGUUCAUAGGUCAAUGCUCACCCGCCGAGCAACACUGGCUAGGCAAGUCUGUAAACUGUAUUUUUCUGGGUAGUAUUAGUCCAAAAGAACUAAAUGUUUGUACUUGACCAAGAUGGUAAUAAUAGCAGCCAGGAUUAGUACUAGUGGACUAACAAUGAGAAAGAGAGAUAGGGAUCUAUUACGUAAAUAUAUCGGCCAGUCUGGAUACACAAUAGAGUAGUAACCUGUGAAACAAACAUAAAAUAUCCUCUUAAAUGUUGUUUUCAUAAUGCAGUAACAUAAUUCACAAAGACUUUAAUGAAACAAUUAAGAUUUAUAUACAUACGUGUGAGUUUGUCUCGCUGUGUGCUAACUGUAAAAUCAGAGAGAAAAAAAAAUUAAAAGAGUAGGUACUGGGGAGGCUUUUGUUUUAUUUUUAAAAACCAAGUUUCUAAUUAUAACUACUAACUGUUGCUUUGACUUUAUUGCAGUGAUUUUCAAAGGUUACUUUUUAAAGAUUUUAUUGUACUAACUAUUCACUUGAUAUUUUUAAAGCAACUUUUAUAUAAACUAAACUUUUUAUGUACCACUACUGUAAAUGGAAAAUCAUUUUACAUAUCACAUCUAACAGAUAAUGAAUCCAAUUAAAAUAAAUAUUAAAACAUUAAAUUUUUAAAAUAAAAAAUAUUAGUAAUA
Myotis daubentonii (Daubenton's bat) is the source of this 3296-nucleotide long non-coding RNA. RefSeq lists it as uncharacterized. NCBI's taxonomy places the organism in Eukaryota, Metazoa, Chordata, Mammalia, Chiroptera, Vespertilionidae. The record is from RefSeq and is a predicted model, not a curated record. The transcript has 4 exons.